Long non-coding RNA from Lycium barbarum (goji berry), 2115 nucleotides. RefSeq lists it as uncharacterized. The transcript has 3 exons. The record is from RefSeq and is a predicted model, not a curated record. Lineage: Eukaryota; Viridiplantae; Streptophyta; Magnoliopsida; Solanales; Solanaceae.
UAAUUUGGCUCAUUUAUAUCAUCGAACUAUAGGAAAUUACUCAUUUAUGCCACUCAUCAAUAGUUUGACUCAUUUAUGCUAUCGCCCGUUAACAAAAUGACUCAUCCAUGUCAUAUUUCAUUAAAGCUGAUUUUACAAUUCCAUAUAUGACACGUGGCCUUCAACUAGAUUAUGGUUGUGGGUGGUUAAGGUGUAUGGGUCAGAUUUUUUUAUUAAUUUGGUAUUUAAAAUUGGGCUGGUUUAAUUAAACGACGUAGACCUCUAAUUGGAGGUCACGCGUCAUAUCUGGUAUUAUAUAACCGACGUUAAUAAAAAAUGGCAUGGAUGAGUCAUUUUGGUAACGGGCGAUGGCAUAAAUGAGUCAAACUAUUGAUAAAUGGCAUAAAUGAGUCAUUUCCUAUAGUUCGAUGGCAUAAAUGAGUCAUUUCCUGUAAUUCGAUGGCAUAAAUGAGCCAAACUAUUGACGAGUGGCAUAAAUGAGCCAAUUCCGAUAGUUGGAUGGUAUAUUUGAGUCUUUUCCGUUUUAUCUAAAUUUAACUUCUAGAGCUAAAGCAAACGAACCACUGCUUAUAGUGUACACGACAAAGAGUACAACUCCAACAGGCUCUCUUCGAUUUGUUCUCUUUGAAGACGAGAUCAUACCAAUUGCCGAAGCACAACAACAACCCCCGGUAAGAACAAUAAUAAAUUUUAUGUAUCAUUUUAUCAAAUCUUACAGGGCCAAAUAUUUUACAUAGAAGCUGAACUUUCACUGCCAAAUGAAAACCAGAGGUUCUUCGCUUUAGCCUGUUCAGACUGCAAGAAGCUGUUCACACGAAUUUCGCGGAGGACAUUUUACCGUGCAACUUGUCGUCGAUCCACAGACCUUAUUCCAGGGUAUAACAAAUAGCUAUGGAUUUGGAAGCCGUGGGGUCGGGUGACUUUCCUGCCGACAAAUUAGAAAUCAUUCAAAAGACCAUCUUCUUCUCUGUAUUUUUCAUAAAAACUCUUCAUCUCUCUCUCUUUCUCCACAUUUUUUGUCUGGAAAACAUCAUCCAGAUUUGCCUCUCCUAGCUAUAACCAUAUCAAGAAUCUAAUUUUGUCAUGUAUAAUUGAUAGCUGUUUACAUUCACCUAUUUUUGUCUCAUAUGCAAGUAUGCACAUUCAUUGUAGUUUCCUUUUUAUUAUCUAUUGUUAGCAAUUUGAAAUAUUUCUCUAGAUAUAGAACAUAUUUUCUUAUUAUCGUUAGAUUCCUUCGUUAAUUAGUUGACUCGGGUAUGAACUUAUCCUAUUUACUUUUAUAAUAGAUAUCAAUUCCAUAUAAUUGCUUACAUAUACUUUCUCACAAGUACUUAUUCUAAUUAUUUUUACGAGUGAUGUCAAUUUGAAGUCACUGUCAUGGACAACACUGGUUCUGCAACGGCACUUAUCGCGGACGAACCCGCUGAAACUAUGUUUCAUCUCACCGCAGAAGAAAUCUACAAUAUUCGUUGUGUCAAGAAGGAAGUGCUACCUCUUGCAAAUGUGACAAGGCAACUAACUGGCAAGACGUUUAACAUUCAAAUGAAGAGAUCGUUCACAAAAAAUAUGGAUGCAGCACCCGCAAAAUUAAUCGUUUGAUCCUUUAUGCAAAAAGAGAACGCUAUUGAUACACAAUUGCCACCUAUACUAAUGGACAUUCCAGCAAGCAGCAAGAGGAAAAUUGAUGAUAACCAAAAGGAAAUGAAAAUUGCUACUCCGAGAAACUAUCGAAAGUUGUUGCCAACAAAGAAACUUUUUGGUGCUUUUCAGAAAUCUCCCUGGUAAUUAUCAGCUAUCUCAACAUUACCAUGUUCAAAAUCCUUUUCAAUCUUAUAUUUUUCACACACUAAUUGUUCACCUUGUCUAUGUUAUGCAGCAGAUACCAAUAUUCUCACCAAAGAUUACAAGAGAAGUGUCUGCGCCGCAGCUAACCUUCAAGUCAAUGUAUCGCAUUUUGUUAAUAUGUAAAUAGAAUGUAUAUAGCUAUUGCGUAAAUCUCUGUUCAACUUGGAUAACUUGGCUCCGUAUCAAAAUGUAUGUAAAAAUUUUAUGUUCUUGGUCUAUAUUCAACUUGUAAAACUUGGCUCCUUAUCAAAAUGAAGUAUAUGUUCUUGG